Molecule: ribosomal RNA, 379 nt
Filed under: uncultured eukaryote
Lineage: Eukaryota
Description: partial 18S ribosomal RNA
Rfam family: Eukaryotic small subunit ribosomal RNA
Source: RNAcentral
CAAUAGCGUAUAUUAAAGUCGUUGCGGUAAAAAAGCUCGUAGUUGGAUUUCUGUUGAGAGCGACCGGUCCAUACCAUGUAUGCGUAUCUGGCUUGCUCUCGGCAUCCUCUCGAUAGACGUUACUGCGCUUGAUUGCGUGGUGCGGAUCUCGGAACUUUUACUUUGAGGAAAUUAGAGUGUUCACGGCAGGCUUUCGCCAGAAUACAUUAGCAUGGAAUAAUACUAUAGGAUCUUGGUUCUAUUUUGUUGGUUUCUAGAAUUGAGAUAAUGAUUAAUAGGGACAAUUGGGGGCAUUCGUAUCAACACGUCAGAGGUGGAAUUCUUGGAUUGUGUUGCGACGAACUACUGCGAAAGCAUUUGCCAAGGAUGUUUUCAUUGA